GCUCAGGAUGAACGCUGGCGGCGUGCCUAAUACAUGCAAGUCGAGCGAACAGAUAAGGAGCUUGCUCCUUUGACGUUAGCGGCGGACGGGUGAGUAACACGUGGAUAACCUACCUAUAAGACUGGGAUAACUUCGGGAAACCGGAGCUAAUACCGGAUAACAUAUUGAACCGCAUGGUUCAAUAGUGAAAGGCGGCUUUGCUGUCACUUAUAGAUGGAUCCGCGCCGUAUUAGCUAGUUGGUAAGGUAACGGCUUACCAAGGCAACGAUACGUAGCCGACCUGAGAGGGUGAUCGGCCACACUGGAACUGAGACACGGUCCAGACUCCUACGGGAGGCAGCAGUAGGGAAUCUUCCGCAAUGGGCGAAAGCCUGACGGAGCAACGCCGCGUGAGUGAUGAAGGUCUUCGGAUCGUAAAACUCUGUUAUCAGGGAAGAACAAAUGUGUAAGUAACUGUGCACAUCUUGACGGUACCUGAUCAGAAAGCCACGGCUAACUACGUGCCAGCAGCCGCGGUAAUACGUAGGUGGCAAGCGUUAUCCGGAAUUAUUGGGCGUAAAGCGCGCGUAGGCGGUUUUUUAAGUCUGAUGUGAAAGCCCACGGCUCAACCGUGGAGGGUCAUUGGAAACUGGAAAACUUGAGUGCAGAAGAGGAAAGUGGAAUUCCAUGUGUAGCGGUGAAAUGCGCAGAGAUAUGGAGGAACACCAGUGGCGAAGGCGACUUUCUGGUCUGUAACUGACGCUGAUGUGCGAAAGCGUGGGGAUCAAACAGGAUUAGAUACCCUGGUAGUCCACGCCGUAAACGAUGAGUGCUAAGUGUUAGGGGGUUUCCGCCCCUUAGUGCUGCAGCUAACGCAUUAAGCACUCCGCCUGGGGAGUACGACCGCAAGGUUGAAACUCAAAGGAAUUGACGGGGACCCGCACAAGCGGUGGAGCAUGUGGUUUAAUUCGAAGCAACGCGAAGAACCUUACCAAAUCUUGACAUCCUUUGACCGCUCUAGAGAUAGAGUCUUCCCCUUCGGGGGACAAAGUGACAGGUGGUGCAUGGUUGUCGUCAGCUCGUGUCGUGAGAUGUUGGGUUAAGUCCCGCAACGAGCGCAACCCUUAAGCUUAGUUGCCAUCAUUAAGUUGGGCACUCUAAGUUGACUGCCGGUGACAAACCGGAGGAAGGUGGGGAUGACGUCAAAUCAUCAUGCCCCUUAUGAUUUGGGCUACACACGUGCUACAAUGGACAAUACAAAGGGCAGCUAAACCGCGAGGUCAAGCAA
RNAcentral lists this ribosomal RNA (1267 nucleotides) under Staphylococcus sp. C-D-MA2. RNAcentral describes it as "bacterial SSU rRNA". It matches the Rfam family "Bacterial small subunit ribosomal RNA", at positions 22 to 1270 of the family's 1533-position model. The record is from RNAcentral. Lineage: Bacteria; Bacillati; Bacillota; Bacilli; Caryophanales; Staphylococcaceae.